AGGAAAAGAAACUAACAAGGAUUCCCCUAGUAACUGCGAGUGAAGAGGGAAAAGCUCAAAUUUAAAAUCUGGCGGGCUCUGUCCGUCCGAGUUGUAAUCUGGAGAAGCGUUUUCCGCGUCGGACCGUGCACAAGUCUCCUGGAACGGAGCGUCAUAGAGGGUGAGAAUCCCGUCCAUGGCACGGACUGCCGAUGCUUUGUGAUACGUUUUCAAAGAGUCGAGUUGUUUGGGAAUGCAGCUCAAAACGGGUGGUAAAUUCCAUCUAAAGCUAAAUAUUGGCGAGAGACCGAUAGCGAACAAGUACCGUGAGGGAAAGAUGAAAAGCACUUUGAAAAGAGAGUUAAACAGUACGUGAAAUUGUUGAAAGGGAAACGCUUGAAGUCAGUCGCGUCCGACGGAACUCAGCCUUGCUUCGGCCUGGUGUACUUUCUGUCGGACGGGUCAACAUCAGUUUUGACCGGUGGAAAAAGGUGAGGGGAAUGUAGCGCCGUUUCGGCGGCGUGUUAUAGCCCCUUGCUGUAUGCAUCGGUUGGGACUGAGGACCGCAGCACGCCUUUUUGGCCGGGGGUUCGCCCUACGUACCGUGCUUAGGAUGUUGGCAUAAUGGCUUUAAGCGACCCGUC
RNAcentral lists this ribosomal RNA (623 nucleotides) under Phellinus tremulae. RNAcentral describes it as "eukaryotic LSU rRNA". It matches the Rfam family "Eukaryotic large subunit ribosomal RNA", at positions 54 to 653 of the family's 3401-position model. The record is from RNAcentral. Lineage: Eukaryota; Fungi; Basidiomycota; Agaricomycetes; Hymenochaetales; Hymenochaetaceae.